CGGCGACUCGCCGAAUGAGUUUCUGACCUAUCAACUCGAGACGGCGGGGGUAGAGGCCCGCCGCGGUAACGACGGGUAACGGGGAAUCAGGGUUCGAUUCCGGAGAGGGAGCCCGAGAAACGGCUACCACUUCCAAGGAAGGCAGCAGGCGCGCAACUUACCCUAAUCUCGAUUCGAGGAGGUAGUGACAAGAAAUACCGAUGCGGGACCCUACGGGUGCCGCGUUCGGAAUGAGUACGAUUCGAACCACCUAACGAGGAACGAUCGGAGGGCAAGUCUGGUGCCAGCAGCCGCGGUAAUUCCAGCUCCAAUAGCGUACGUUAAAAGUUGCUGCAGUUAAAAAGCUCGUAGUUGAACGUUCGGGUUCCGCGGGACGGGGCCGCCCCGCGAGGGACGGCGCCGCCCCGGGGCUCGUGAUAUCUUAUCUCGCCGCCCGUCGCGAGGCGGACGGAGGGAUGGA
This 460-nucleotide ribosomal RNA is filed under the name uncultured eukaryote. RNAcentral describes it as "bacterial SSU rRNA". It matches the Rfam family "Eukaryotic small subunit ribosomal RNA", at positions 285 to 742 of the family's 1831-position model. The record is from RNAcentral.